Molecule: small nucleolar RNA, 93 nt
Organism: Acomys russatus (golden spiny mouse)
Lineage: Eukaryota; Metazoa; Chordata; Mammalia; Rodentia; Muridae
Product: small nucleolar RNA SNORA4
Exons: 1
Source: RefSeq, a predicted model, not a curated record
GAUUCAUGGAUUAAAGUAUGGGAAACUUAUGACCACACUCCACAGUGAGCUGUACCACUUAGUAUAGUUCAUUACUAUUUUGUGGCCUACAUU